This 222-nucleotide ribosomal RNA is filed under the name Mycobacterium sp. ITM-2017-0098. Its description in RNAcentral is "partial 23S ribosomal RNA". It matches the Rfam family "Bacterial large subunit ribosomal RNA", at positions 2270 to 2491 of the family's 2925-position model. The record is from RNAcentral. Lineage: Bacteria; Bacillati; Actinomycetota; Actinomycetes; Mycobacteriales; Mycobacteriaceae.
UUAACUGGGGCGGUUGCCUCCUAAAAAGUAACGGAGGCGCCCAAAGGUUCCCUCAACCUGGACGGCAAUCAGGUGUUGAGUGUAAGUGCACAAGGGAGCUUGACUGCGAGACGUACAUGUCAAGCAGGGACGAAAGUCGGGACUAGUGAUCCGGCACCUCUGAGUGGAAGGGGUGUCGCUCAACGGAUAAAAGGUACCCCGGGGAUAACAGGCUGAUCUUCC